This 297-nucleotide transfer-messenger RNA is filed under the name Rhodospirillales bacterium. It matches the Rfam family "Alphaproteobacteria transfer-messenger RNA". Rfam says of the family: Bacterial tmRNA, also known as 10Sa RNA or SsrA, is named for its dual tRNA and mRNA-like properties. Its role is to liberate the mRNA from a stalled ribosome. The record is from RNAcentral. Lineage: Bacteria; Pseudomonadati; Pseudomonadota; Alphaproteobacteria; Rhodospirillales.
UGUCUUUUCAAUUCCCUUUUCCGUACCUAUAGUAAUGGUGUCAGGCAACUGACUAUGGCGAUAAACGCUGAUCGGAAUAGACAUAGCGGACCCGGGGGCGGUACCCGGCGCCUCCACCAUCACUUGAGGGGGCGAAAUAGGAUCGACGCGUGUAGUAAAGGUUCAGUUUUUGCCCGGCAUUGUACCGCCGUUAUCGGGCUAACAUUACAAAUGCAAACGAUAAUGAUGCAUUUGCAGUUGCUGCGUAAGUAGCAACUACGGGGUUCGGGGGGCACCUGGCAACAGAAGCCCCCCACU